UGGGGAAUAUUGCACAAUGGAGGGAACUCUGAUGCAGCGACGCCGCGUGAGUGAUGAAGGAAUUCGUUUCGUAAAACUCUGUUCUAUGGGAAGAAAAGGACUGUACCAUAGGAGAAAGCUCCGGCUAAAUACGUGCCAGCAGCCGCGGUAAUACGUAGGGAGCGAGCGUUGUCCGGAAUUAUUGGGCGUAAAGGGUGCGCAGGCGGCUUUACAAGUUGGAUGUGAAAUAUUGUGGCUCAACCACAAACGUGCAUCCAAAACUGCAAAGCUUGAGUUAAGGAGAGGUAAGUGGAAUUCCUGGUGUGGCGGUGGAAUGCGUAGAUAUCAGGAGGAAUACCGGUGGCGAAGGCGACUUACUGGACUUAAACUGACGCUCAGGCACGAAAGCGUGGGGAGCAAACAGG
Molecule: ribosomal RNA, 404 nt
Filed under: Fusobacteriota bacterium
Lineage: Bacteria; Fusobacteriati; Fusobacteriota
Description: Fusobacteria bacterium partial 16S ribosomal RNA
Rfam family: Bacterial small subunit ribosomal RNA
Source: RNAcentral